UUCAAAGACAAAGACUCAUAUGGACUUCGGCAACACCAUCAAAGCUUUGAGAAGUAAGAAGAAGCGUGGUUAGUGUUUUGGAGUGAAAUAUGACUUGAUGUCAUGUGUAUGACUGAGUAUAACAACUAGAAUCACAACCAUAUCUUAAAAGCCUAAGUAUUGUAUCCUUGUUCGAAGAUACAAAGACAAACACUCAUAGGGACUUCGGCUACACCAUCAAAGCUUUGAGAAGCAAGAAGAAGGUUGGUUAGUGUUUUGGAGUCAAAUAUGACUUGAUGUUAU
This 282-nucleotide small RNA is filed under the name Arabidopsis thaliana (thale cress). RNAcentral's name for it is "ATSL268060". Lineage: Eukaryota; Viridiplantae; Streptophyta; Magnoliopsida; Brassicales; Brassicaceae. The record is from RNAcentral.